GGGGGCGUACCGGUUUCGACGGGGACGCGGAAGUAUGAAUAGCGGGCAGAUGCGCCCAGCAUCUUUAAAAUGGGCAAUUAUAAAUUAAAGAACAACGAUUACGUUGCUCCUGUCGCUGCUUAAGCAGUGACCGUUCCGCCCGGGAGGUCCACGGCCCGGGAUCGGGGCGUCGAUUAGUGGAGAACGUGAGUAGGCAAAGCUUUGAGCUUACCACGCAUAAUGAAGCUACCAAGCCGCUGAGUGUGACGGUCCACGCUCCGGCAAGGGAAUGUAAAUGACCGCCUGCGCCCGGAGAAGUUCAUAUGGAUGAGUUUUCGGACGGGAGUUCAACUCUCCCCGCCUCCACCA
Molecule: transfer-messenger RNA, 348 nt
Filed under: Oscillospiraceae
Lineage: Bacteria; Bacillati; Bacillota; Clostridia; Eubacteriales
Also listed under: 1 other name
Description: RUG626 sp900317385 Standard tmRNA
Rfam family: transfer-messenger RNA
About the family: Bacterial tmRNA, also known as 10Sa RNA or SsrA, is named for its dual tRNA and mRNA-like properties. Its role is to liberate the mRNA from a stalled ribosome.
Source: RNAcentral